CAAUUUACCAGUUCCUGCACAUUUCCUAUUUACCCUUGUCAAUUACAAGCUAACCAACAGGUAGAACAGAUAGCUUCCAUGCUACAACACUGCCUAAGCACCAAGUCCACCUCAGGUGUAGAUGGCGCUACAGCAUCACCGGUCUCUCAGCAGCUUCCUUACUCUCAUGAUGUCAUUUCCCCUAACCCCGAAAAGUUUUCCGGAGAGGUGGGUAAUAGUCGAGGUUUUUUGCUUCAGUGUACUCUUGUGUUUAACCGUUCUCCACAUUCUUUUCCACACGAUGACGUUAAGAUUUCGUACAUCAUCGGAUUAUUAACAGACAGGACUUUGCAGUGGGCAGAGGCCCGGUUCUCUAAUUGUAAUAGUUUUGGUUGCACUUUUGAUGAGUUUGUGCAAGAAUUGGUCCGAGCGUAGCAUUGAAUCAUCUCUUAGUUGUCAUUCCACUUGUCUCCAGUCAGCUGUUUCCCCGAGUCUAAUGGUGAGGAGGAUGAGACAAUAGACUUGUCUCACGUUCCCUCUGAAUACCAUGACCUACGACAAGUUUUUAGUAAAGCCAAGGCCCUCUCUUUACCUCCUCACAGACCCUAUGACUGCUCUAUUGAUCUACUUCCUGGUUCCCAUUUACCUACAAGCAGACUUUAUAAUAUCUCCCGACUUGAACAAAAGUCUAUGGAAGACUAUAUUAAUGAGUCUCUUUCAGCAGGUAUCAUUCGGCCCUUUUCUUCACCUCUUGGGGUGGGGUUUUCCUUUGUGGGGAAAAAGGAUGGCUCUUUACAUCCUUGCAUCGACUAUAGGGGUUUAAACCAGAUUACCGUUAGGAACAAGUACCCUCUUUCACUUAUCACUUUAGCCUUUGAACCAGUUCAUGGUGCAACAGUUUUCUCUAAGUUAGACUCAGGAAAUGCAUACCCGCUUGUUAGAAUCCGCCAGGGGGACGAGUGGAAGACGGCCUUCAAGACGCCACUUGGUCAUUUUGAGUACUUGGUCCUGCCUUUUGCUGUGUGCAAUGCCCCGGCUAUAUUCCAGGCCCUUGUAAAUGAUAUGCUCAGAGACUUCCUACACAUUUUUGUGUUUGUGUACUUGGAUGACAUUUUAAUCUAUUCUAAAGACACUGAGGAGCAUAGCCGGCAUGUCCGCCAAGUUCUUCAGCGCCUUCUAGAGAACCGCCUAUUUGUGAAGACCGAGAAGUGUGAGUUCCACCAAUCCUCAGUUACGUUUUUGGGCUACAUCUUAGAGGGUGGACAGGUACACUCGGACCCACAAAAAAUAAAGGCGGUAUUGGAAUGGCCUGUACCAGACUCCCGCAAGGCUUUGCAGCAAUUCCUAGGGUUUGCAAACUUUUAUUGGCGCUUCAUCAAGGAUUACAGUUUGACAGCAGCCCCACUUACCGCUUUAACCUCCUCUAAGAUUACAUUCUCCUGGACGCCAGAGGCUGACAGAGCUUUCCGGGCCUUAAAGAAGUUUUCUUAAGCUCCCAUCUUAGUUCACCCAGAUUCUUCUAAACCAUUUAUUUUGGAGGUUGAUGCUUCAGACAUUGGGGUCGUGGCAGUGCUGUCACAGAAUUCAGAAGAUGAAAGGCUACAUCCUUGUGCCUUUUUUAUCCUGCAGACUAAGUAACACCGAAAGAAAUUAUGAUGUGGGUGACAGAGAACUAUUGGCAAUUAAACUAGCCUUAGAUGACUGGUGUCACUGGCUUGAGGGUGCCAAGCAUCCCAUUCAGGUUUGGACAGAUCAUAAGAACCUGGCCUACCUUCAGUCAGCCAAGAGACUAAAUCCACGUCAGUCCCGUUGGUCCUUGUUCUUUACUCGUUAUGAUCUCUAUGAUCUGCAUCUAUUUCAGACCUGGCCCAAAGAACACGAAAGAAGGUGAUUCAGAGAAGGAAUCAGCUCUAAUCCUGCCUCCCAGUUGGACUGUAGGGGCACUCAGGUGGGAGGUGGAGGGCAUUAUAGCCAGGGCUCAACAACCCGAUCCCGGCACAGGACCACCAAACCGUACCUAUGUUCUUUCUAGUGUUCGCUCUAGACUCAUCCAUUGGCUUCAUACAGCAAGGUUUUCAGCACAUCCUGGAGUAAGCAGAAUUAGCGCUAGUUCUGAGAAGAUUCUGGUGGCCCUCCCUACAUAAAGAUGUGAGGGAGCUCGUUUAAGCCUGCACUACCUGUGCCAGGAACAAGACAAGAAACCAACCACCCUCGGGCCUUCUCCAAGCUCUCAGCAUUCCCAAUCGGCCAUGGUCCCACAUUGCCUUAGAUUUUGUGACUGGCCUUCCCCUCUCGCAAGGUAUGACGACUAUACUCACAAUUGUAGAUCGCUUUUCUAAAGCAUGCCAUCUCAUUCCUCUUAGAAAGCUCCCGUCGGCAAUUCAGACGGCCAGGCUCCUCACUAAGCAUGUUUUUCGUCUGCAUGGUAUUCCUCAGGGCAUUCUGUCUGACCGUGGACCAAAAUUCAUUUCUCAAGUUUGGAAACAGUUCUGUUUAACUUUAGGAGCCAAAGUCUCUCUGACGUCAGGGUAUCAUCAUCAAUCUAACGGUCAGACUGAAAGGAUGAACCAGCAGCUGUCUCACGUCCACUAAUCCCACUGAUUGGUGUUCAUAUUUACCAUGGGUUGAAUAUGCUUUAAACUCGCAUGUUUCUUCAGCUACAGGACGCUCCCCCUUCGAAUCAUCGAUUGGUUAUCAGCCGCCUCUGUUUACAGCAGAUGAAAAAGAAAACUGUUUCCACUAUCUAUCAACAUGUCCACCGCUGCAGGUCCAUCUGAAACUCCACCAUCCAUGCCCUCCAUCAAACCGCAGAACAAAAUAAGCGUUUCGCUGACCAAAGACGUCGACCAGCUCCAGAGUAUCGCCUUGGACAAAAGGUCUAGUUGUCAGCACGAGACGUGCCUCUCAAGUCCAUGUCCCGGAAGCUUUCGCCACAUUUUAUUGGACCUUAUGAAAUAGAGACUGUUAUCAGCCCCUCUGCGGAUCGCCUUCGUCUUCCUGCAAAUCUUCGCAUUUAUCCCACGUUUCAUGUUUCUCAGAUAAAACCUGUGUUCUCUAGUGCUUCUCCUAUUUUUGUCGAUUAAGAUCCAAGAUUCCUGUUUACUUCGUCUGGACAACAACCAGCUGGCAGCUUCUUGUUUUCACCGUCAUCUGAACCUUGGCAUAAGCGUAACUUGUUCACCCUCCAACGCAAGUGCCUCCAUUCUGAACUCCUCAUCAUCCCUCACAGAUCUCUCAAGCCUUACCAGAGAAACUUCUGUGCCGUACACUCAGACUCUGCAUCCCUCAACCCUCUAGGUGGUUAGAUUACUCCAACAUAUUGGCGAUUUACCAGUUCCUGCACAUUUCCCAUUUACCCUUGUUUAAGAAAAUAAAUCUUCUUCAUAAUCCUAUUUCUUCUUCUGAGUGUCUCAUCCGCUUGUGGGUCAGAACUAUCUCGAG
Molecule: long non-coding RNA, 3420 nt
Organism: Girardinichthys multiradiatus
Lineage: Eukaryota; Metazoa; Chordata; Actinopteri; Cyprinodontiformes; Goodeidae
Exons: 3
Source: RefSeq, a predicted model, not a curated record